Non-coding RNA from Cordylochernes scorpioides, 68 nucleotides. NCBI's taxonomy places the organism in Eukaryota, Metazoa, Arthropoda, Arachnida, Pseudoscorpiones, Chernetidae. The record is from the annotation of a GenBank genome assembly.
UGCAUCGGCCGGGAAUCGAACCCGGGCCCGCGUGGCAGGCGAGCAUUCUAUCACUGAACCACCGAUGG